AGUUGCUGCCCAUCUUGGGGCGUUUCCUCCCUAGACUUUGGCCACACCGCGCGUGUGGCCUUUUUUUGUGGAGGC
This 75-nucleotide small RNA is filed under the name Methylobacterium nodulans ORS 2060. RNAcentral's name for it is "Makes More Granules Regulator RNA (mmgR)". It matches the Rfam family "Makes More Granules Regulator RNA (mmgR)". Rfam says of the family: SuhB later renamed mmgR (makes more granules regulator) was a putative non-coding RNA found multiple times in the Agrobacterium tumefaciens genome and related alpha-proteobacteria. Other non-coding RNAs uncovered in the same analysis include: speF, ybhL, metA, and serC. The record is from Rfam by way of RNAcentral. Lineage: Bacteria; Pseudomonadati; Pseudomonadota; Alphaproteobacteria; Hyphomicrobiales; Methylobacteriaceae.